Long non-coding RNA from Acanthopagrus latus (yellowfin seabream), 303 nucleotides. RefSeq lists it as uncharacterized. Lineage: Eukaryota; Metazoa; Chordata; Actinopteri; Spariformes; Sparidae. The transcript has 2 exons. The record is from RefSeq and is a predicted model, not a curated record.
CAGGGCUCCGAAUAAAUGAGCUGCUUGACCUGAACACUGCUUCCAUCCAGUGGUCAGAGAGUGUAACUGCAGGUGUGUAAAGACAGGAACAAGAUGACAGUGAAGGCUCUGAUGCUCCAGCAGCAGAACUGUAGUGGAGGAGGCAGAUGGUUAAUCUCCAUCCACGAGCGGAUAUGACAUGCAAAACCUUUCAGCUGGAUUCAGGAGGAUGAAUAUGUGAGGAGGGAGGUGGACAAUGGAAACUCUAAAAUUGGGACCAUGAUUUGUCUUGUAUACUUGUUCUUUAAAUGCUACCUCCUACUG